This 3045-nucleotide long non-coding RNA is filed under the name Pomacea canaliculata. RNAcentral describes it as "uncharacterized LOC112560806, transcript variant X4". The record is from RNAcentral. Lineage: Eukaryota; Metazoa; Mollusca; Gastropoda; Architaenioglossa; Ampullariidae.
UUGCGUUUGAAAGAUCCCGCCAACAGACGCCUGCCAGCUAGCGCGCCAGAAGUCUAAAGACGGGGCUUAGGUCCGGACCCGUUAGUCAGCGAAAUCUUCAGUCAAAGAAUGUCUGGGGAAAAUUUUCUACAACCCUUUCACAACACACAAUGGUGGUGUGAGACACGAGUGACUCAAAUUGUCACCAUAAUCCGCCUUCUACUGAGGCCCUCGUCAUGGCAGUCAUCUUUCUAUCGUCACCAUAACUCUCAGCACGACGGUCUGACGGUUGCUGCCGCCAUGUUUGUAACAUUCCACAGACCUGGAUUUGUGAACCUAGACAAAUGACUUGGGGAGGAUUCCAGUCCGACAGUGAAGUGAGAAACCACCAUGGUAUGCAAAGCAGUAAACAACGUUUGACGGUAAGAAACUCUUGUUGAUCGAGGAUGGAGAGAGGAGAAGAGGGUCGACGUUUCGAGUCAAAAGAAAUGAAUGACCCCGUCACCUGACUGUGGAGCAGAGCAAACCUCUAAUCCAUUGGGAACAUAUUAGAAGGAAAUGAACCUCCACAGCCACCUACACAAGCCGAACAGCCUCCGACCUUUCCACAGACCAAAAGAAUGUUCCUGCUAGAUGUUGUUGGGAUUUGAAUGAGGAGCCAACCCAGAACGACAAAUACCGCCAUCUGUUUUACUUGUAAUGUUAAUCACAAAGCUGACAGGUUUGAUGACUGUUUUCCCCUGGAGCAUACCUAGACUGAUUAUCUCAGCCAAGCUCAACAACCGGGACAUUCACCAAGAGGGAAGCCCCAUGACAUCUAAAGCAGUGAGCAAUUAAUUCUUUAAGAGAGGAAAAGGUAAGUUGAUGUCGUGAAAAGUUUAAACUUUUAAAUUACUUUUGGGAAUUAUUUUGCGCUUUGUUUUCUAAUCGUGUCCAAUGUCACAUUCAUCUGUAACACAUUAAAAUCCGUAUACACAUAUUCUUUUGUGUGUUUACUGAUAAGGGGUUGGGGGAGAAAAAGCUAUUGUAAGUUCACUUUUCGUGUUGAUGGGAAACUUUUUAUAAAACUGUUACAUAAAGGUGGCUUCAUCUUCUCAUUUCGCGUUCAGUUUAGACUUUGAAACUGAGAUGCAUUUCGUGAAUAUUUUAUUGCAGUAUUAAUUCUGCGUUGGAUCGUGACAACCUCAGCGAGAGAUGACCAUCUGAAAUUUCUACAACUUUCAAGUAGAAACACCUAAGAACUUUAACGCAAAAGAAACUACGUUUAUUUUCUUUAUAUUUUUUUGGCUUUUUGUGUGUUUAAUUCUGUUUUUGUCUUGGGAACAGUAUGUGCAUCUGUAUGUAUGUUUACUCACACAAACAAACAAUUAUAUACACAAACAUACUUCUCUCUCUCUCUCACACACACGAACUUUCAAAAUUUUUCACAAUCUGCGUUAGAGUCUUCACAGACAUUUCAGACGACAAUAGUUGAUGACAGGAUAUGGCAGAGGAGAAAACAAGCAAAAUAAAAAUAAUAAACAACUUUAUGAAUCCCAGAAGGCAAUUAUAUUCUUAUGUUCUGUUACAAAAAUAGACAAGUGUUAGUUGCGGGAAAAAACAUAAGGACUAAAAGGUUGUGCAUCAUAGAACACUUCACAACAUGCAAACUAAUCUUACAUCACACAUCCAUGUAAACAAACAACUGACGAUUCCAUCUAUAAAUGGCCAGGAAAAAAGCAGUAAACAGUAAAGUCCCUCAACACUUUAUCAAAGGGAUUGGGAAAGCAAAGUGCCUCAACCAAUGGACAAUUACUUGUCAUGCCCUUUGCUCUAGAAAUGCAUGUAGAUGCAUGUGAUUUACUCCUCUAGAUGAAACUUCUCCGUUCAAUAAGGCAUUGUCAUCAAGUGUCAAAGGAGAGUAUAUUAACACUGACACUUUACCCCCCUGCAACCAAUGAUUAUCAUAUCAGAAGCGCGGUCACACACACACAAGGUACGUCUACUUUGUGUUACAAUAUUUCGGAAUUUUAUCUGCAAGUACAAUGUAAUAACCUGGAAAACUGCCCUUGGAUGACCAUUAUUUAACACAAUAUUGCAGGAAAAUGCUAUAUGUCUACAUGUUAGUCAGCGCGCAAAUAGAAUACGAUAUGAAGUCAGCCGUCUGUCCUUCUACCAACUGUGGUGGUUGUUGGCAGACUUCCGUUAUCUACAUCCCACGUCACGACAGUUUCCAGAGUCGUCUGUCGUAAAACAUGUCGUAAUUCCAUGAGUUCGACUAAGCAGCGACUUGCAAACAGUCCUCAGUGUCUUCGUCUUUGUUGUCAGUUCACCUGGUACACCACACGAGCAGUCUGGUGCGAGGGAGGAAUUCUACUCAUGUGUAAACAUUGGUAGAAGCUAAAUAUAGACCGGAAAUUCCCAUUUCUCUAGAGCUGCGCUAUUUUAAAGUCACAAAGCAAGUUUACAAGCUGCUAUGGCUCUGUCACAAGGUGUGUAUAGUGUUUGAUGUCAAGAUCUUUUAUACUACAUUAAAUAUAUAUGUGCAAUCAUUUCCAGGUGAAUGCAGUUUUAUUCAUUUGUUCAGAAAAUAAACUGAUCAGGUAGAGUCGACAUAAGAAACGUGGAGAACUUUAUACAAGUAUCUUCCCCUCCAGACACCUAUCGUCAAAACACAGCCCCGGGGAACUGGUCUCAUGGGGAACAUUGGCACAGUCGCAUUCAACAAGGGAUGCUAUUGGUCAGCCACUCACCCAGAAUUCUUCAUCUAGUCAACAAGUAGUCAGCACGGACAAGGGGAAGACCACCUCCUGUUGACCCUCGGACCCGACUAUAGGGGGCAGGUGGAGUUAAAGUCCCUUAAGACGAGAUUCUUCAUGAGAAGAACACGCGGAUGACCCUCCAGACCAUCGCCGCUGUUUCUACAAUGCCCUCAGCCAUUCUGCCAAAAUGUCUUUGAGUCCAGCAGGAGCUGAACUGAUGAUGUCAUCGAUAGUUUGACCGGCAGACCUCAAGUUGUCUCCCCCGGUGAAGACGACGACCAUGUACUUAGUGACCUCCUUAUCAAAGAUUGCAACGAGUCGUUUG